UACGUAGGGGGCAAGCGUUGUCCGGAAUCAUUGGGCGUAAAGCGCGUGUAGGCGGCUUCGUAAGUCCGUUGUGAAAGUUCAGGGCUCAACCCUGGAAUGCCGAUGGAUACUGCGGAGCUAGAGUCCGGAAGAGGCGAGUGGAAUUCCUGGUGUAGCGGUGAAAUGCGCAGAUAUCAGGAGGAACACCAAUGGCGAAGGCAGCUCGCUGGGACGGUACUGACGCUGAGACGCGAAAGCGUGGGGAGCAAACAGG
This 253-nucleotide ribosomal RNA is filed under the name uncultured bacterium. RNAcentral describes it as "partial 16S ribosomal RNA". It matches the Rfam family "Bacterial small subunit ribosomal RNA", at positions 524 to 776 of the family's 1533-position model. The record is from RNAcentral.